UCUGUCUUAGUGGCGGACGGGUGAGUAACGCGUGGGCAACCUGCCCUGUACCGGGGAUAACACUUAGAAAUAGGUGCUAAUACCGCAUAAUAGGGAAUACCGCAUGGUAAUCCUUUGAAAACUCCGGUGGUACAGGAUGGGCCCGCGUCUGAUUAGCCAGUUGGCGGGGUAACGGCCCACCAAAGCGACGAUCAGCAGCCGGCCUGAGAGGGUGGACGGCCACACUGGGACUGAGACACGGCCCAGACUCCUACGGGAGGCAGCAG
Molecule: ribosomal RNA, 266 nt
Filed under: uncultured bacterium
Lineage: Bacteria
Description: partial 16S ribosomal RNA
Rfam family: Bacterial small subunit ribosomal RNA
Source: RNAcentral